GUUUGCUACCUGAUGGACGUCAGGCCACUAAUAAUUUUUCCAUUUUGCCCAUAAAGGACUAAGACCAUUGCAGUUUGACUAAGGUCACAGAGAACGUAAGCAGUAGAGUUGAAAUCCACAUCAGUCUUCUAUGGGAGCCAUGCCCCAACUCUCGACACGCCCGGAUGAAGAAGAAUGGAAAAGAGAUUUGAUCUCUGUGCCUAUUAACCAUGCCAAUAGAAGGUUGUGUGAAAAACGAAGCUAUUGGUAGAAGUUUGGGAAAAAAUCUAGUGAUUAGACCAGCAGAAGAUCUGAACUUCGGAGAAGACCACAAAUGAAUUAAAAGACCAGUUCUCUUUUCAAAAGCUAACACGAAAUGAGGAUGGGUUUUAUACAAAAGCAGCUGCUCCUGCCAGUGAGCUUAUGCAUGUCUGUCUUUCAUAUGCCACAGUCAGACCUAGGAAAUUCCCUGGGAAGUCCCCUCUACCACAGUGCUUGCCGUUUCUCCAUUUGACUAUGAUUCUAUUGACUCUUGGGAGAUUGAUCUUCAGGAAGCUCUUAUCACAAAACAGCUCUUCCUGGAGUGAGGAGAGAGCAUGGUACCUGGGAAGACAAAGGGAGUGGACUGGGACAUGGGAAUCUGGUUUCCAUUUUAGUUCUACAACUAGCAGCCUGGUGGCUUUAGGAGGAGCCUGCCAUUUCCCUGGCCUCAAUGGUUUCAUCUGUAAAUUGGAACGGCCUGGAGAUGAUAAAAGUGAAAGCAUCCAUUACCAUGCCUGGAAGUGCUCAAGAAAUGAUUCUUUCCUGCCUGCUGACUUCCAUUUUCCAUCUGUAAGAGCAAAGAGGAGAAGAGGCACAGGAAUUCCCAGGUAA
Molecule: long non-coding RNA, 852 nt
Filed under: Bos indicus x Bos taurus (hybrid cattle)
Lineage: Eukaryota; Metazoa; Chordata; Mammalia; Artiodactyla; Bovidae
Description: lncRNA (ENSBIXG00005023364.1)
Source: RNAcentral